GUUACGUAUAAAAAUGGUGCAAAUAGAAUGAAAUAUAUAAGAGAUGUUGCGUCCAGAAUACUGUGAAAAAUGAAGGGCUGGAUUAGUAAAUUUUGCACAUGAGAAAUACAGAGGUGUUUUGAUACCGUUCUGAAAUAGAUGAUCGUUAUGUUCUCACAAAAUACAAUAUUCAUACCAAAGUCCAGCUGAAUGCCCAUUAUACAGAAGUCCACUUCCAAGAGCAAAGCAAAAGUAAAGAAGUGCCAUGAAACUCACAUAUACAUAAAACGUCUUUUUUGCUGAAAAGAAUGAUUCAAUUUUU
Styela clava is the source of this 301-nucleotide long non-coding RNA. RefSeq lists it as uncharacterized. NCBI's taxonomy places the organism in Eukaryota, Metazoa, Chordata, Ascidiacea, Stolidobranchia, Styelidae. The record is from RefSeq and is a predicted model, not a curated record.